AACAAACAACUUAACAUGUAUCAAAUCAAUUCGAUAUACUACUUUGAUUGCAAAACAGCAUGUGACGUCAUUACGCACAGAUUUUUAUUCGCUUUAAAGCCGUUGGAUGGAAACACACUUUCACCAGGUUUAUUCGUAUGAGUUUUUUUACCGAGAUUCAGAUAAUU
Etheostoma spectabile (orangethroat darter) is the source of this 167-nucleotide long non-coding RNA. RefSeq lists it as uncharacterized. NCBI's taxonomy places the organism in Eukaryota, Metazoa, Chordata, Actinopteri, Perciformes, Percidae. The transcript has 3 exons. The record is from RefSeq and is a predicted model, not a curated record.